This 263-nucleotide ribosomal RNA is filed under the name uncultured bacterium. Its description in RNAcentral is "partial 16S ribosomal RNA". It matches the Rfam family "Bacterial small subunit ribosomal RNA", at positions 524 to 786 of the family's 1533-position model. The record is from RNAcentral.
GACGUAGGGGGCUAGCGUUGUCCGGAAUCACUGGGCGUAAAGGGCGUGUAGGCGGCUUGGCAAGUCAGUGGUGUAAGACCUGGGCUCAACCGAGGUAUUGCCAUUGAAACUGCCUGGCUUGAGGGUAGAAGAGGAGUGUGGAAUUCCCGGUGUAGCGGUGAAAUGCGUAGAGAUCGGGAGGAACACCAGUGGCGAAGGCGACACUCUGGUCUACACCUGACGCUGAGGCGCGAAAGCUAGGGGAGCAAACAGGAUUAGAUACC